CAGUAGCCGCGGUAAUACGAAGGGGGCUAGCGUUGCUCGGAAUCACUGGGCGUAAAGGGUGCGUAGGCGGGUUUUUAAGUCAGAGGUGAAAUCCUGGAGCUCAACUCCAGAACUGCCUUUGAUACUGAAAGUCUUGAGUUCGGGAGAGGUGAGUGGAACUGCGAGUGUAGAGGUGAAAUUCGUAGAUAUUCGCAAGAACACCAGUGGCGAAGGCGGCUCACUGGCCCGAUACUGACGCUGAGGCACGAAAGCGUGGGGAGCAAACAGGAUUAGAUACCCGCGUAGUCCCUGUCUCUUAUAC
This 301-nucleotide ribosomal RNA is filed under the name uncultured bacterium. RNAcentral describes it as "partial 16S ribosomal RNA". It matches the Rfam family "Bacterial small subunit ribosomal RNA", at positions 509 to 807 of the family's 1533-position model. The record is from RNAcentral.